UCCUUCAAGCAACAGACAUACAUCAGAAAAACUUUAAAUGGGACAGGGAAAAGUAAUUUUAUCAUAUCUUCAGUUAGCAGUGAUUAAAUAUGAUCAAAUAAGAGCACUUCAGGAAAUUACUGGCAACCUUAGAAUAGUUUACGACUGCUUCAGCCUGACUAUGCCCACCAUUUUGAGCGUCCUCCAUUGAAACCAUAUAAGGACCAUUCUGACCAAUUUGCCUCAACUGUGACGGAUCAGAUACAACUAAUUGCCUCAUAUUCAUUGAAUGCUGUCAAAAAAAGAACAUCACUCACAUUACCAUUGUUGUAUUAAUAUAGUAUUUUAGAUAAUUAUCAGAUAGAAGAAUAAAAUCUUCGAACUUAUUACUUUCAUUUGUAAAGUUAGAACCUUGAUUCUUAUGUAGUGAAAAAGGAAAACACAAUCAACUAAUAAAAGGUUCUCACAUUGCUGAUAGAACUAUAUAUACACAAAUAGUGAGAUUUCAUCAAUUUGAUUAUGAGACUUUAAUCUUUCAAUUUUAUACCAAAUAUAGUAACAAACCUAAACAACCCCAUUUCAAGAAAAUUCCAAAAUCAACUAUGAAAAUGUUUAAGCCGUUCAAAUUAUUCAGAGUCCACCCACAUUGCCGGGGCGGAGCCACCUGGGUCCCCCACUGGAUUUUGGCCCUGGGUAUUUCACCAAUGGAAAACCAAAAACUCGAGAAAUAUUGUUUAAAAAAUCACUGAUGCUAGAGAAAUAUUACCAUCAAGAAACAACAAUUCUGGAAAAAUAAAAUAAAUUAUAAGGAAUUGAGUUCAAAUUAAAUCAUUCACAACGAACAAAUCGAGUCGAUUUCAACACAUAAAGCCCGUUUUAACACUGAUACAAUCCGAUACUACCUUCCAAGUUUGGUGAUGAAGAAGUUGAGAAGAAAUCACUGGAACAUAAGAUAAAUUGGAGCCGCGCGUGAUGAAUAUAUUCCCAGAUUUUUGUGUAAUACCGUGAAAGAAAACCUAGACUGCUUUUGUGGUUGUUUUUAGUUCAGCAAAAGUGAAUCGUACCAUUCCCCACUUAGCUUAAGUCACAGCAACUACA
This 1077-nucleotide long non-coding RNA is filed under the name Olea europaea (common olive). Its description in RNAcentral is "long non-coding RNA (OEUR_LNC013018)". The record is from RNAcentral. Lineage: Eukaryota; Viridiplantae; Streptophyta; Magnoliopsida; Lamiales; Oleaceae.